This 465-nucleotide ribosomal RNA is filed under the name uncultured bacterium. RNAcentral's name for it is "partial 16S ribosomal RNA". It matches the Rfam family "Bacterial small subunit ribosomal RNA", at positions 28 to 507 of the family's 1533-position model. The record is from RNAcentral.
GACGAACGCUGGCGGCGUGCUUAACACAUGCAAGUCGAACGGAAAGGCCCCCUUGUGGGGUACUCGAGUGGCGAACGGGUGAGUAACACGUGAGUAACCUACCCUUGACUUUGGGAUAACUUCAGGAAACUGGGGCUAAUACCGGAUAGGAGCUCCUGCUGCAUGGUGGGGGUUGGAAAGUUUCGGCGGUUGGGGAUGGACUCGCGGCUUAUCAGCUUGUUGGUGGGGUAGUGGCUCACCAAGGCUUUGACGGGUAGCCGGCCUGAGAGGGUGACCGGCCACAUUGGGACUGAGAUACGGCCCAGACUCCUACGGGAGGCAGCAGUGGGGAAUAUUGCACAAUGGGCGGAAGCCUGAUGCAGCAACGCCGCGUGCGGGAUGACGGCCUUCGGGUUGUAAACCGAUUUCGCCUGUGACGAAGCGUGAGUGACGGUAAUGGGUAAAGAAGCACCGGCUAACUACGUG